RNAcentral lists this non-coding RNA (29 nucleotides) under Rattus norvegicus (Norway rat). The record is from RNAcentral. Lineage: Eukaryota; Metazoa; Chordata; Mammalia; Rodentia; Muridae.
UGUGCAACAACUCUCAUUCCACCUCAUGU